AAAGCAGGGGACCGCAAGGCCUUGCGCUCUUUGAGCGGCCGAUGUCAGAUUAGCUAGUUGGUGAGGUAAAGGCUUACCAAGGCGACGAUCUGUAGCGGGUCUGAGAGGAUGAUCCGCCACACUGGAACUGAGACACGGUCCAGACUCCUACGGGAGGCAGCAGUGGGGAAUUUUGGACAAUGGGCGCAAGCCUGAUCCAGCCAUGCCGCGUGAGUGAAGAAGGCCUUCGGGUUGUAAAGCUCUUUCGGCCGGGAAGAAAUCGCAUGGGUUAAUACCUGGAGUAGAUGACGGUACCCGCAUAAGAAGCACCGGCUAACUACGUG
RNAcentral lists this ribosomal RNA (323 nucleotides) under uncultured bacterium. RNAcentral describes it as "bacterial SSU rRNA". It matches the Rfam family "Bacterial small subunit ribosomal RNA", at positions 202 to 507 of the family's 1533-position model. The record is from RNAcentral.